Molecule: ribosomal RNA, 468 nt
Filed under: uncultured bacterium
Lineage: Bacteria
Description: partial 16S ribosomal RNA
Rfam family: Bacterial small subunit ribosomal RNA
Source: RNAcentral
GACGAACGCUGGCGGCGUGCUUAACACAUGCCAGUCGAACGGAAAGGCCCUGCUUUUGUGGGGUGCUCGAGUGGCGAACGGGUGAGUAACACGUGAGUAACCUGCCCUUGACUUUGGGAUAACUUCAGGAAACUGGGGCUAAUACCGGAUAGGAGCUCCUGCUGCAUGGUGGGGGUUGGAAAGUUUCGGCGGUUGGGGAUGGACUCGCGGCUUAUCAGCUUGUAGGUGGGGUAGUGGCUUACCAAGGCUUUGACGGGUAGCCGGCCUGAGAGGGUGACCGGCCACAUUGGGACUGAGAUACGGCCCAGACUCCUACGGGAGGCAGCAGUGGGGAAUAUUGCACAAUGGGCGGAAGCCUGAUGCAGCAACGCCGCGUGCGGGAUGACGGCCUUCGGGUUGUAAACCGCUUUCGCCUGUGACGAAGCGUGAGUGACGGUAAUGGGUAAAGAAGCACCGGCUAACUACGUG